Long non-coding RNA from Ostrea edulis (European flat oyster), 385 nucleotides. RefSeq lists it as uncharacterized. NCBI's taxonomy places the organism in Eukaryota, Metazoa, Mollusca, Bivalvia, Ostreida, Ostreidae. The transcript has 2 exons. The record is from RefSeq and is a predicted model, not a curated record.
ACCCAAUGACGACGAUGUUCCGACCUGUAUGAAUAGCAGUUGAUGUUAAUGUAAUCAGCAGACGAGCCGUCCCACUGCAGACUAAGGGUGCUGUCACUACUCUGUCUCCGUUUCAAAACAAGUACUUCAUGUAAUUCAACCGUCAAUUAGAUAUUUGAUAGGACGCUCCACUAGUACUGCUUUUCAGCAUUCGUUGUCAGUCGUGGAGAUUCAAUCGUGCUAGAUUGGAGCACUGGCUUGGAAAUGACUCUAUGUUUGUUGAAAUUUAAUGGCGAAAUACAAAUAAUAGCCCCUUGGGUUAAAAUAAAAUAAAACAUCUCAACAUGAGUGAACAAUUCUAGACGGGAUGUAAAACAACCAACCAGCCACCCACCCGCCCACCAAC